UAGGGAAUCUUCCGCAAUGGACGAAAGUCUGACGGAGCAACGCCGCGUGAGUGAUGAAGGCUUUCGGGUCGUAAAACUCUGUUGUUAGGGAAGAACAAGUACGAGAGUAACUGCUCGUACCUUGACGGUACCUAACCAGAAAGCCACGGCUAACUACGUGCCAGCAGCCGCGGUAAUACGUAGGUGGCAAGCGUUAUCCGGAAUUAUUGGGCGUAAAGCGCGCGCAGGCGGUUUCUUAAGUCUGAUGUGAAAGCCCACGGCUCAACCGUGGAGGGUCAUUGGAAACUGGGGAACUUGAGUGCAGAAGAGAAAAGCGGAAUUCCACGUGUAGCGGUGAAAUGCGUAGAGAUGUGGAGGAACACCAGUGGCGAAGGCGGCUUUUUGGUCUGUAACUGACGCUGAGGCGCGAAAGCGUGGGGAGCAAACAGGAUUAGAUACCCUGGUAGUCCACGCCGUAAACGAUGAGUGCUAAGUGUUAGAGGGUUUCCGCCCUUUAGUGCUGCAGCUAACGCAUUAAGCAC
RNAcentral lists this ribosomal RNA (521 nucleotides) under uncultured bacterium. RNAcentral's name for it is "bacterial SSU rRNA". It matches the Rfam family "Bacterial small subunit ribosomal RNA", at positions 355 to 867 of the family's 1533-position model. The record is from RNAcentral.